UAAUUCGGUCCAAGACGGUGCCUUUGAGUGUCAGAAUAGGAGAAGAUUCUAGUUUGAAGCAACUUAUCAUCUGAAUAAUAGAUGCCAGGGACAAUGAGGGAAGGGCAGAAGGCUAACUGCUCAUUCUCAGCAAAGAAGUUAUCGAUGUUCUUGUUUAACACCAUUCGACCCACCGGCUGCAAUGGGAAGAUGUCCUCUGGCCAUGUCUUGGUUACAUCAAGUGGGUCAAAAUCAAACCUGUCCUCAUGAAGAGGAUCCAUUAUUUGAAUGAACAGCUUCCAUUCAGGGUAGUUUCCGGCUGCAAUCGAGUCAUAAAGAUCUUGUGUGGCAUGACUGUGAUUCGCGCCACCUACUCUUAUGGCUUCAUCCUCCAACAAAGAUUUUACACCACAAGUGGGUUUCCAAUGGAAUUUCACAUAGUGUGCCUUCCCAGCUUUGUUGAUUAGUGUGUAGGUAUGAACACCAGAGCCAUCCAUGUGCCUAUAAUCCUGUGGAACACCGAUGUCAUCAAACAGGAAGGUGAACAUGUGCAAGCUUUCGGGAUGGUGCGAAAAGAAGUCCAGAAUCCUCCAGUUUUCCUGAAUGUGGGACUUCGGGUUUGGUUUAAGAGCAUGGACCAUAUCAGGGAACUUCAUUCCGUCACGGAUGAAAAACACAGGGAAAUUGUUCCCCACUAGAUCAAAAUUUCCCUGGUUCAAUAACAAGGAAUCCAAAAAAGCAAACAAUUAACUUCACUUCUGAUAUAUGGUAUGUCUAACUCAAAUACAUAAACAUAUGUGAACAUAUAUAUACUUUCUCUGUAUAUGCAGGUAGCAUGUAUAUAGACACAUACCUCUCGUGUGUAAAAUUUCACAGCAAAACCUCGGGGGUCUCUCAAAGUUUCAGGACUACCGCGUUCAUGAAUAACCGUGGAGAAUCUAACAAUGAGAGGGGUCUGCACUCCAGGGGCACGAAGGAAAUCAGCACAUGUGAGCUGAGAUAUAUCAUGAGUGACCUCGA
This 999-nucleotide long non-coding RNA is filed under the name Gossypium raimondii (Peruvian cotton). RNAcentral's name for it is "long non-coding RNA (GRAI_LNC001742)". The record is from RNAcentral. Lineage: Eukaryota; Viridiplantae; Streptophyta; Magnoliopsida; Malvales; Malvaceae.